UACAGAGGUGGCAAGCGUUGUUCGGAAUUACUGGGCGUAAAGGGCGCGUAGGCGGUUCGUUAAGUCCUGUGUGAAAUCCCCCGGCUCAACCCGGGAACUGCGUCCGAUACUGGCAGGCUUGAAUCCGGGAGAGGGAUGCGGAAUUCCAGGUGUAGCGGUGAAAUGCGUAGAUAUCUGGAGGAACACCGGUGGCGAAGGCGGCAUCCUGGACCGGCAUUGACGCUGAGGCGCGAAAGCCAGGGGAGCAAACGGG
RNAcentral lists this ribosomal RNA (253 nucleotides) under uncultured bacterium. Its description in RNAcentral is "partial 16S ribosomal RNA". It matches the Rfam family "Bacterial small subunit ribosomal RNA", at positions 524 to 776 of the family's 1533-position model. The record is from RNAcentral.